This 441-nucleotide ribosomal RNA is filed under the name uncultured Porphyromonadaceae bacterium. Its description in RNAcentral is "bacterial SSU rRNA". It matches the Rfam family "Bacterial small subunit ribosomal RNA", at positions 355 to 794 of the family's 1533-position model. The record is from RNAcentral. Lineage: Bacteria; Pseudomonadati; Bacteroidota; Bacteroidia; Bacteroidales; Porphyromonadaceae.
UGAGGAACAUUGGUCAAUGGGCGAGAGCCUGAACCAGCCAAGUAGCGUGCAGGAUGACGGCCUUAUGGGUUGUAAACUGCUUUUGUAAGGGAACAAAGUGCGGGACGCGUCCCGUUUUGCGUGUACCUUACGAAUAAGGAUCGGCUAACUCCGUGCCAGCAGCCGCGGUAAUACGGAGGAUGCGAGCGUUAUCCGGAUUUAUUGGGUUUAAGGGGUGCGCAGGCGGCGCGCCAAGUCAGCGGUCAAAGUUCCGGGCUCAACCCGGUGUCGCCGUUGAAACUGGCGUGCUCGAGUGCGUGCGAGGAAGGCAGAAUGCGUUGUGUAGCGGUGAAAUGCAUAGAUAUGACGCAGGACUCCGAUUGCGAAGGCAGCUUUCCAGCGCGCUACUGACGCUGAGGCACGAAAGCGUGGGGAUCGAACAGGAUUAGAUACCCUGGUAGU